Molecule: small nuclear RNA, 106 nt
Organism: Cercocebus atys (sooty mangabey)
Lineage: Eukaryota; Metazoa; Chordata; Mammalia; Primates; Cercopithecidae
Source: Ensembl
CCCAUGAGUUCUGAUGAAGGUUUGAAAGGUUUGUAUUUCCCAGAGAAGACUGGUAUGGCCCCUGUGCAAGGACGACAUGCAAAUUUGUGAAGUGUUCCAUGAAAAA